Molecule: long non-coding RNA, 223 nt
Organism: Ornithodoros turicata
Lineage: Eukaryota; Metazoa; Arthropoda; Arachnida; Ixodida; Argasidae
Exons: 3
Source: RefSeq, a predicted model, not a curated record
GCGAGCUAGCUGAUGUUACUUGCUUCUCGUUUCCGUAUAGAAAAACUCAUAAACGUGCACUUCAGCGUUCAGCGAGGUUGAAGACACAGGCCCCCGUGAUUGCUGCUGUGCCAAAUGACAUACGGCGAUAACUUGAGGGCACAAGGUUGAAGGGACCGACGCGGGAACAUAGGUCGGCAUUUUCCUAAGAAAUUCAACGUCACAUCAUGGUCGCAUUUACGCA